AGAGUUUGAUCCUGGCUCAGGACGAACGUUGGCGGCGUGCUUAACACAUGCAAGUCGAGCGGGGCUUAGUGAAAAGUUUACUUUUUACUUUGUCUAGCGGCGGACGGGUGAGUAACGCGUGGAUAAUCUGCCUGUAAGACAGGGAUAACGCCGGGAAACCGGUGCUAAUACCCGAUAACCUCUUUGGAUCGCAUGGUUUGAAGAGAAAAGGUGGCCUCUUUUGAAAGAUGAGUCUGCGUCCUAUCAGCUAGUUGGUGGGGUAAAAGCCUACCAAGGCGAAGACGGGUAGCCGGCCUGAGAGGGUGAACGGCCACACUGGGACUGAGACACGGCCCAGACUCCUACGGGAGGCAGCAGUGAGGAAUUUUCCGCAAUGGGCGCAAGCCUGACGGAGCGACGCCGCGUGAGGGAUGACGGCCUUCGGGUUGUAAACCUCUUUUAUUAGGGAAGAACAAGAUGACGGUACAAUAAGAGGAAGCCACGGCUAACUACGUGCCAGCAGCCGCGGUAAUACGUAGGUGGCAAACGUUGUCCGGAAUUACUGGGCGUAAAGGGCGAGUAGGUGGUUUAUUAAGUCAGAAGUGAAAACUCCAGGCUCAACUUGGAGACUGCUUCUGAAACUGGUAGACUUGAGUGCAAGAGAGGGAAGUGGAAUUCCUAGUGUAGCGGUGAAAUGCGUAGAUAUUAGGAGGAACACCAGUGGCGAAGGCGACUUCCUGGCUUGUAACUGACACUGAGGCGCGAAAGCGUGGGGAUCAAACAGGAUUAGAUACCCUGGUAGUCCACGCCGUAAACGAUGAGUGCUAGGUGUCGGGGGUAUCGACCCCCUCGGUGCCACAGCUAACGCAAUAAGUAUUCCGCCUGGGGAGUACGAUCGCAAGGUUGAAACUCAAAGGAAUUGACGGGGGCCCGCACAAGCGGAGGAACAUGUGGUUUAAUUCGAUGAUACGCGAGGAACCUUACCUGGGCUUGACAUCCCGUGAUAGCUAUGGAAACAUAGUCUUUCGCCUCUUCGGGAACUCUGACACAGGUGCUGCAUGGCUGUCGUCAGCUCGUGUCGUGAGAUGUUGGGUUAAGUCCCGUAACGAGCGCAACCCUUGUCCUUAGUUACCAGCACGUAAUGGUGGGCACUCUAAGGAGACUGCCGGUGAUAAACCGGAGGAAGGUGGGGAUGACGUCAAAUCAUCAUGCCCCUUACGACCAGGGCCACACACGUACUACAAUGCCCGGUACAGCGAGUUGCAAAGCCGCGAGGCAGAGCUAAUCUCUUAAAAACCGGGCCAAGUUCAGAUUGUAGGCUGCAAUUCGCCUCCGUGAAGCUGGAAUCGCUAGUAAACGCAGAUCAUCAUGCUGCGUUGAAUACGUUCUCGGGCCUUGUACACACCGCCCGUCACACCAUGGGAGCCAGUAACACCCGAAGCCGGUGAGCUAACUUAACGGAGGCAGCUGUCGAAGGUGGGAUUGGUGACUGGGGUGAAGUCGUAACAAGGUAACC
Molecule: ribosomal RNA, 1495 nt
Filed under: uncultured bacterium
Lineage: Bacteria
Description: 16S ribosomal RNA
Rfam family: Bacterial small subunit ribosomal RNA
Source: RNAcentral